UGGGCGGAGCCGACCUGCUCCAACCGUUCCCGGGAGCCGGGAGUGUGCGCUGCGCGGCGGCGGCUCCGCGCUCGGCCCCUCCCGGGCUGGGUAGGAGAGAGGAAGCCCCGCUCGGCGCCGUCUAUGUGCUUCUGCAGUUUGGGAAGGACCGGGUUUUCCCGGGAAGGAGCCCGGCUCAGCUGUGUCGACCCUGGGACGUCUCCUUUCCCUUUCCUUCUAGAAGAAACAGCGUGUCCGAACCUUCCGUAGGGAAAGGCGCUCGUCACCCUUGGUUCGUGGUUACUUUAAAAUGUGAAGUACGAGGCCGAUGCUGACCUGGGCGGACCUGCGCUCGCCCACAGCCUGCGAGGAGACUCAGCCCCGCGCCCACAGCACGGAGCCCGGCCCUUCUAUCCCUUCCUGCGAGCCCGAUGAGCCUCCCGGUUUCCGUCUGGCUCGGAUAAGGAAGCAUCUUUCUGCUGGCCGAGUCCCUUCAUCGCCCGAGCACAGUUUCCAGAACUCAGGGGGCUUCUGGAACAGAAUUCUGGAACUCCAGGCUCGGUAGGAUGGUUAUGGGCGCAACGUUGUUGAAGCCACGCCAUCCGGAGUCUAUAACCAAGCAAAUCUGGUGGCGUGGUCUUCUCCUGUGAGGCUUUGAAGACUUGUGCUUUGUUGAAGAUAAAGCUGGCCUGUGGCUGAUUGCAGAUGCUUUCAGGGAAGUGAAGUAAAACAGAAUGACUGUGUAUAGAUGUCAGAAGAUUUAAAGGGGCCGUAAUUAAUUUAUUACUUAACGAUUUUCAAAAGCAAGAGAUCUGGUGAGAAUUCAUAACGAGGAGACUGCCACUAAGGAGUUUUGGUUGUUUCUGUGAUACAAAAACGAGAUGAGAAAGCCAAUCCAAAAUAAGUUUUAGACAAAAUAGCUACCGACAUAGCGAUCUACCCUAUUUUCAAAGGAGAUAGAAAACACUGCAUGGGAUUUAUAGCAGUGGAUGAACGUAAUUCCCACAGAGAAAAAGUCUUGAAACAGACAUAUAAUAAUCCUGAGACCUAAUAUGCUGCAAAUAUACAAGUCACACAGUAAGAAUGAUAUAUCAACAAUAUGAGACAGUUGUGGUAAGUCUGGAGUAAGUUCUACAUAUUUAUACAUUAAUUAGACUCCAUAGGCAAGUGAUGUAAAUCCCAUUUGAAAUUCAGAAGCCCAGAAGAUGCUAGAGUCAAAUUAAAGAAGUAAAGUGGCGACCAAGUAAGCGUUUAAAAAAAUAGCUACAAUUAUGACUGAUGACACUUCACUACUGUAGUCUAAUAUCAGAGAAAACAGCACCAGGACUUUCUAUGUUGGUGGAAACAUGUCAUGGGCAGUAAGAGCACUGAUAAGUCUCCAGGAAUUUCCCAUUCGGUGUACAAUUUCUGAAAUAUUUAUAUUAACGUUGUAGCCAUGCAAAUCUGACUUAGGGAAGCCUAGGCCUUUCUCCUCCUCCUCCUUUUCCUCCUCCCCCUCCCCCUCCUUCUGGCAUCCCUUCUGAUUUUCACCUCUUCCUGUGCAACUCAUCAAUAAUAGCACAUCAAAUAGCCCUGGUUGUCUUCACUAUCUGCCUUUUUGCAAGGGGACAGAACGCAUCGUUAGGAUUUUCCAGGCACCUUCGGGGAAGUCUCAACCACAGGUGUAGGUGGAAACAGUACCUUGAAAGUUUUAGUUGACAUUUAGGAUUCGAUUGGGGGAAGGCAAAGGUUAAAACCGAUCAGAACAUUUGAACACUUAGGAGAGGAAACAAACCAUGAUUGCUGGAGAACUUAGGUGGUUAUUGGUUUCAAAGUUACAAUAAAACCGUUAAAACUAAGCACAGAAGGUAACAUGACUGUAAACGACAUUAUUCCUAUGUAAGAAACCUUUGUUUUCUUCAGGAAGGACGACACAAUCAAUGUAAACUAUAAAGCUUAUUCUGCUAAAAAACAGAAUAUUUGCUGUCGGAGAAGGUUACACAGGGGAAACAGAAAGAACCGGUCAUAUUAUGGGUGAGGGCACCGAGCAGUUAACCAAAGGAACAAACACAUUAAAGUGAAGCAAACCUUCCCAGAUUUUGGUAUAUUCUGUGGCUCUUCAAACUCAGGUAUUCUAAAUGGGGAUAAAUAAAAUUAACCUGCCAAUUUUGCCCAUCUUUAUGUUCUUCCACACCCUGGGACAAUCUGACACUGUCCUGGCUUCAGGAGUCCACGAGGUUGGAACCGAUUUCACACCAUUGCUGAGAUGUUACCAACAUGGAUUGUGUCCGACUGUGCGAUCUCCAAAUGCGCUAAGAAGUACGAUUUUUUAAACUGCGUGUUGGGAUUGUUUGUAAUGGAACAAGCAUUUCCAGUCAAGUUCGUAUUUUAGAUACUUAAACCUUCAAGAUGUAGUUUAUUCAAUUGUUUACAGUGUUUUUCAACUGCAGCUUUCCAGCGUAAAGGGCCCGUGAAAUCCCAGGCUUCUGACCUCCCUCCCAGGGGAACCGACUGGAACGCUGAAGAACGAAACAAGAAACAGGAGGCUCUCGCGAUCUAACUGAUCCUCAGCGUGAGAAGUGUUCUGCCCGUUCCAGAAUGUACAUGUUAGGUAAACGAACAAACAGAUCCUUAAAAGCCAUAGUUCAGGAUUUGAUUCACAAAUCUGUUUAAAAACCAAGGCCGCUGCGGGUAAACGGUCAGAUAUUCUUAUUUCCAAAUAUUUUUCCUUUCGUUUGAGGCCUUUUUGUUUGUUUAUUUUGAUCUGACUGUCUUGCUUUCUCGGAUCUGUUCUAAUUGUUAUCUCUCUAAGAUUUCCUGUCCUCUAUAAAAAAAAAUCUUCACUGAAUCUGUUAUCUUGCAAACCUUGAAACGUUGGCAUCCUGUGUUCUGUGUCGUCUUCUGUCAUUCCUCCUGACUUCCUGCCUCCUCCUGUCCUAAAUGUGGCAAGAGAGAGAGGAGAGACGAUUCCAUUUCCUUACCCAUCAACCAGGCCGCGAGUGGGGUCUGCCGAUGAGCUAAUAUGGAGGAGGCCUCCCUGUAAUUGUCGUGACUUUGGAGCAUCGGACAGUGUCACGUGGGCAGAGUUUGGCCCUCGGUUUGUGAGUUUGACUUCCUACUUGUGACACGGAUUGUUCGGGGCCACUUCCUGACAUACCUGUGGCAUAUCUGUCCCUCCCCGCCCAAGUUUCUGGUAGGGAACAGGCAGGAGUGACACUAAUAUGUGAUGUCUGGGUUCCCAAGGUGUUUUCAGCCUUCACUGCAUCGGGUUCACAAGCAGCAAUCCUGCAGAAUUAGAGGUACUCGAGGCUUGUGACUGAGGUGGGAAAGAUAGUGCCCCGCGGCCUCUCUGAGGUCUUCGCCGAGACCCCGGUAACGAGCGAGUAAGAAGGAUAAACCGACCGAAGUUUGUUAACCCGUUUGCCCCGGGUACAGGUGGGGACACCCGGGGAGAACAAGUAACUGUCGCCGUGGCUUAGAAGUCCAGCUUACGCGGCAUCUUCAACAAAGAACAGUGGAUUUGUGGUGAAGUCAUGGAACAAAGGAACGCGUGUCAGGCCAAGGGCAGAGAGACAGGCCAGUCAGUAAAGUUUGUUAUUUGAUUUCCAGGCUGUUGGGGUCUAAGGUUGUCUGGGGGUGAACCUCCGUCUUUCCCCGCAGAGAGGGCACAAGGGCCUCUUGGCAAACUUCUGUCCUAAUUCCUCUCUCUCGCUUUCAGCUCACAAUAAUCCUUGUGCCCAAGUGGCAUAUUUGGGGGUGGCCUAGUCCUUCACCUUCGCUGUCUUGUUUGUUCACAUUCCUUUGGAAGUUGGGAGGGGGG
Molecule: long non-coding RNA, 3778 nt
Organism: Lynx canadensis (Canada lynx)
Lineage: Eukaryota; Metazoa; Chordata; Mammalia; Carnivora; Felidae
Exons: 3
Source: RefSeq, a predicted model, not a curated record